AAGGGAAGAGGAUGAGGAGGAAGUUGUGGCCAUCAGGGCUGGUCAGGAGCUGCAGACACAGUGUCUGGGCUUGUGUCCGGCUGUGUCUGCACCCCAGUACUGUCGGUACCAGAGCUGCUCGGCUCUGGAGCAUCCGUUCCAUUGCCGCAUCCAUUGGCUGUCUGGGGUGCUUGGGAGGGCGCUUCUGGCUUCCCUCACCCUGGGCUUUCCGAGGGUGUGGCGAGGAGGGGGAUUACUGCAGGUGUGAGACACUGGGUUUGAUGCCUGCACCUGUUCAAUUGGCAGCUGAGGCGAAGGGCUGCGUUUUGAUUGUACAUUUGGCAUCUCAGUGCCACGAGGACAGGCCGGGAUGCUGCAGUUCCAGCUCAGAAGUUUCCCACCUUUCCCUGUUAGGCAUUUCUAGUAGGACUUUUUUCCUACAGUGUGGGUUAAUCGCAGUAGCGGCAGAUAAGGUUUUGUUUAAAUUGAAAAGGGCCUCUUGGUGCGCUUGAGCUGGGAACUCAGUCAGGUGUGGAUUAAAGACUGCUUUGAGUACUGACCAUAAGGUGAGUUGGAAGCUUCGUGGAUUUCUCUUUCCUCACAGAGCCUUCAGCUACACCUGAGCCCGAGGUCUCUGUGCCAUCGAGAAGUCAAGGUUACACGUGGAUCUUGAUUGUUGCAGGGCUCCUGAUCAUCCUGAUAGCUGCAGGUUCUGUUGCUGUGUGGGGUCUGUCCAAAGCAAAGUGCAGAUCUAACACCUCCAGUCUUGAAAAAGCAUCCAGGGAACAGCUGAUGCCUGGGAGCCAGAAAGGCUCCUUGCCCUGAAGGGGAUCGUUAUCCAAAGGUGAUAAGGUGGGACUAGCCUUGUCUGUCUCCUGCUCACCACAGAGCCUGACUGAACUGGGCAUCAGCUCUCAAUUCUGCGCUGUAACACUGGAAUACCAAGAGAAUGCUCCCUUUGUAAAUGGGUCUUGGAUUGUGGGACUACCUUGGCUCCAGAAAUAGCACAGGACCUUCCCUGGCACGGUGACAUCAGCACUCCCAAAGGUGAUAGAAAUGUCUUCGUUGUUCUGCAUGACAGUCAUUACUGCUGAUGCCCACUAGUGUGGCCUCAGACCCAAAGAUGCUUUUCUCCUUGAAAUGCCAGGUGUUGUUCAACUGUCUCCUUCCACUUCCAGCCAAGAGCCUUUUUACAUCUGCCCCAUUCUUUUCCCUCGAUUUUUCAGGGAAUAGGAGCUUUCUCACCUAUUUCCAUAGGCACUCACUGGCUGCACAGAUCAGACAAAUACUCCACGCCCUCACUAUGUUUGAUGCUGCUCCAUCCCAUCCAUGCGAUGCUUUUACUGACACUGCCACCGUAGGGGUGACAACAGUUUUGCUGUGCAAAGCAAAAGCCCACGUGGGGCAAAGA
This is a long non-coding RNA of Ficedula albicollis (Collared flycatcher), 1390 nucleotides long. RefSeq lists it as uncharacterized. The record is from RefSeq and is a predicted model, not a curated record. The transcript is spliced from 3 exons. NCBI's taxonomy places the organism in Eukaryota, Metazoa, Chordata, Aves, Passeriformes, Muscicapidae.